GUGGGGAAUAUUGGACAAUGGGCGCAAGCCUGAUCCAGCCAUGCCGCGUGAGUGAUGAAGGCCUUAGGGUUGUAAAGCUCUUUCAGUGGGGACGAUAAUGACGGUACCCAAAGAAGAAGCCCCGGCUAACUUCGUGCCAGCAGCCGCGGUAAUACGAAGGGGGCUAGAGUUGUUCGGAUUUACUGGGCGUAAAGCGCACGUAGGCGGAUCGUUAAGUCGGUGGUGAAAUCCUGGAGCUCAACUCCAGAACUGCCUUCGAUAGUGGCGAUCUUGAGUCCGGAAGAGGUGAGUGGAACUCCUAGUGUAGAGGUGGAAUUCGUAGAUAUUAGGAAGAACACCAGUGGCGAAGGCGGCUCACUGGUCCGGUACUGACGCUGAGGUGCGAAAGCGUGGGGAGCAAACAGGAUUAGAUACCCCAGUAGUCC
This 425-nucleotide ribosomal RNA is filed under the name uncultured bacterium. RNAcentral describes it as "partial 16S ribosomal RNA". It matches the Rfam family "Bacterial small subunit ribosomal RNA", at positions 354 to 796 of the family's 1533-position model. The record is from RNAcentral.